GACGAACGCUGGCGGCGUGCCUAAUACAUGCAAGUUGAGCGCUGAAGGUUGGUACUUGUACCAACUGGAUGAGCAGCGAACGGGUGAGUAACGCGUGGGGAAUCUGCCUUUGAGCGGGGGACAACAUUUGGAAACGAAUGCUAAUACCGCAUAAAAACUUUAAACACAAGUUUUAAGUUUGAAAGAUGCAAUUGCAUCACUCAAAGAUGUUCCCGCGUUGUAUUAGCUAGUUGGUGAGGUAAAGGCUCACCAAGGCGAUGAUACAUAGCCGACCUGAGAGGGUGAUCGGCCACAUUGGGACUGAGACACGGCCCAAACUCCUACGGGAGGCAGCAGUAGGGAAUCUUCGGCAAUAGACGAAAGUCUGACCGAGCAACGCCGCGUGAGUGAAGAAGGUUUUCGGAUCGUAAAACUCUGUUGGUAGAGAAGAACGUUGGUGAGAGUGGAAAGCUCAUCAAGUGACGGUAACUACCCAGAAAGGGACGGCUAACUACGUG
This 497-nucleotide ribosomal RNA is filed under the name uncultured bacterium. Its description in RNAcentral is "partial 16S ribosomal RNA". It matches the Rfam family "Bacterial small subunit ribosomal RNA", at positions 28 to 507 of the family's 1533-position model. The record is from RNAcentral.